GCCUGGGUGGCUCAGUCGGUUGAGCGUCCGACUUUAGCUCAGGUCAAACCCGCGGUUUGUGGGUUCAAGCCCCACAUCGGGCU
This 83-nucleotide transfer RNA is filed under the name Felis catus (domestic cat). It matches the Rfam family "tRNA". Rfam says of the family: Transfer RNA (tRNA) molecules are approximately 80 nucleotides in length. Their secondary structure includes four short double-helical elements and three loops (D, anti-codon, and T loops). The record is from Rfam by way of RNAcentral. Lineage: Eukaryota; Metazoa; Chordata; Mammalia; Carnivora; Felidae.